Non-coding RNA from Triticum aestivum (bread wheat), 135 nucleotides. The record is from Rfam. Lineage: Eukaryota; Viridiplantae; Streptophyta; Magnoliopsida; Poales; Poaceae.
GGAGUACUCCCUUCAUCCGAAAAUACUUGUCAUCAAAAUUAAUAAAAAGAGAUGUAUCUAGAACUAAAAUACGUUUAAAUAUAUUUUAUUUUAUCCAUUUUGAUGACAAGUAUUUCCAGACGGAGGGAGUAGUUG